GACGAACGCUGGCGGCGUGCCUAAUACAUGCAAGUAGAACGCUGAAGAGAGGAGCUUACUCUUCUUGGAUGAGUUGCGAACGGGUGAGUAACGCGUAGGUAACCUGCCUUGUAGCGGGGGAUAACUAUUGGAAACGAUAGCUAAUACCGCAUAACAAUGGAUGACACAUGUCAUUUAUUUGAAAGGGGCAAUUGCUCCACUACAAGAUGGACCUGCGUUGUAUUAGCUAGUAGGUGAGGUAAUGGCUCACCUAGGCGACGAUACAUAGCCGACCUGAGAGGGUGAUCGGCCACACUGGGACGGAGACACGGCCCAGACUCCUACGGGAGGCAGCAGGAGGGAAUCUUCGGCAAUGGGGGCAACCCUGACCGAGCAACGCCGCGUGAGUGAAGAAGGUUGUCGGAUCGGAAAGCUCGGUUGUAAGUCAAGAACGGGGGUGAGAGUGGAAAGUUCACACUGUGACGGUAGCUUACCAGAAAGGGACGGCUAACUACGUG
Molecule: ribosomal RNA, 497 nt
Filed under: uncultured bacterium
Lineage: Bacteria
Description: partial 16S ribosomal RNA
Rfam family: Bacterial small subunit ribosomal RNA
Source: RNAcentral